AAAAUCGAACCAACGCCCAGCCAAUCACGUGGCGCUCCUCCGGUCAUGUGACGCAGACGGUUCACCUCACAAGACCGGGGUCAACCACGGCUAUCAGCAUGAACGACGGCGCUUCAGACCCACGCAGCGAGGACCCGAUGCCAGGUCCAGUGGACAGACUUCAGACGUCUCUGUGUGUUCGGUCCUGUCCGGUCCUGUCUCUGGUUGCCUGGUUACAGACGCUGCUGCACCCGCACGUUUAAAAAUGUCUACACCUGAAACUCCACCACGUCUAAAGAAGCAAAAACGUUUGCAAAUGUACAGACUGGAGUGGGAAGAGUGGAACCCCUGGCAAUGGAUACAAGGCAAACUGUGUUUUCUGUUGCUCAUGGACUGGCUGAAGUAAGGCAGCAUCAGGAGACAAACCUGGAGGAAAUAUAAGAACAGAGAGAACCCAACCAGCAGGUCACAGUUUAUCAUCAUCUAAUCAUCUCCUGAAGUCCAUAUGGCUGCCCACAACCAUCCCGGCUGCUUGGAUCUAGACGUGCAGCUCCAUGAUGCUUCCUGUCAGCCAGGUA
This is a long non-coding RNA of Amphiprion ocellaris (clown anemonefish), 557 nucleotides long. Lineage: Eukaryota; Metazoa; Chordata; Actinopteri; Pomacentridae. The record is from Ensembl.